GACGAACCUGACGAACGUUAUUCGGAAUCACUGGGCUUAAAGGGUGCGUAGGCUGUGCAGAAAGUUGGGUGUGAAAUCCCUCGGCUUAACCGAGGAACUGCGCCCAAAACUACUGUGCUUGAGUGAGAUAGAGGUGAGCGGAACUUAGGGUGGAGCGGUGAAAUGCGCAGAUAUCAGGAGGAACACCGGUGGCGAAGGCGGUUCUCUGGACCGGUACUGACGCUGAUGCGCGAAAGCGUGGGUAGCAAACAGG
This 253-nucleotide ribosomal RNA is filed under the name uncultured bacterium. RNAcentral's name for it is "partial 16S ribosomal RNA". It matches the Rfam family "Bacterial small subunit ribosomal RNA", at positions 524 to 776 of the family's 1533-position model. The record is from RNAcentral.